Molecule: long non-coding RNA, 3351 nt
Organism: Musa acuminata AAA Group (dessert banana)
Lineage: Eukaryota; Viridiplantae; Streptophyta; Magnoliopsida; Zingiberales; Musaceae
Exons: 4
Source: RefSeq, a predicted model, not a curated record
AUCAUAUUUCUUGAAACGCGUCGUUUGUUCUCUGUCUUCGUUCUCCUCGAGCUCUGUCGUUGCUUCCGAGUUCUUGAAAUUUUCUUUACGGAACUUUGUAUGCUCCCUCAAAGAAAAUAGGAAUCAGUGCCAUUUAAUACGCGAGAGGACCACUCUCAGCCACUCCUUGUCGCCUCUCUGCUUUGUCUCCGAGAAAAGUGGGAGCCGCUUCGGAAGGGUAAAACCUUAAUAUCAUGUGAAUUCUUCCUUGAUUUCUGGAGAUCUUUGUCUAUUUUCAUGUUUUCUUCGUUUAUCUGGUUGCUGAUCGUGUAUCUGACCGGGUUGAUCGGGUCCUGUGUCUUCCAUUUCGCUAUUUUCGAGUCGCUUUAAAGAUAUUUUCAAGUGUGUUCUCUACUAAAUUAUGGAUCGAUGUGAUCUUUGAUUAAGCAAUCCGUUAGACAGAUAUCUGUUCUUGUUUCCAGAUCGGUAUCAUUCUUGUCUUUUUCGUGUUCAUUUUCUGAUCGAUCUAGCGCUGGGAAUCUUGUUUUAGAGACGGAUAUGGUGGGUAUAAGGGUUGGUUGUUUGUCAUGAAAACUGUUAGAUCAGGUAGAUCUGCAAUGGUUUUAGGGGUGGCCUUGUUCUAUAUGCUUGAUUUUCUUUACGGACCUUUGUAUGCAUCCUAAGAAAAAAGAGGAAUCACUGCCAUUUAAUACGCGAGAGGACCUCUCUGUCAUCCCGUUCUUGCGUUUCUGUCGCCUCUCUCCUUUGUCUCCGAGAAAUGAGGGUGUCGCUUCGGAAGGGUAAAACCUUAAUCUCAUAUGAAUUCUUCCUUGAUUUAUGGAGAUCUUUGUCUAUUUUCAUGUUUUCUUCGUUUAUCUGGUUGCUGAUCGUGUACCUGAGCGGAUCGAUUGAGUCCUGUGUCUAUCAUUUCGCUAUUUUCGAGUCGAUUUGAAGACAUUUAGAAGUGUGUUCUCUACUAAAUUAUGGAUCGGUGUGUCUUUGAUCAAGCAAUCCGUUAGACAGAUAUCUGUUCUUGUUUUCAGAUCGGUAUCAUUCUCUUCUUUUUCGUGUUUAUUUUUUGAUUGAUCUAGCGCUGGGAAUCUUGUUUUAGAGACGGAUAUGGUGGGUAUAAGCUUUGGUUGUUUGUAGUGGAAACCGUUAGAUCAGGUAGAUCUGCAACGGUUUUAGGGGCGGCCUUGUUCUUGAUGCUUGAUUUAGUAUAUUAAUCGCAUCUGAUGUCCUUUUUUAUAAGGACUGUAGGCUGUUUCAUGGUUCUUGUUUGCAAAUUUGGUCCCUGAUAGCUUUCGAGGUGGUAGACAUCUCAGAUUAGCUUGGGGAUUUUAGACCUUGGAGCUUGUAGCUUCUCUAAUCAGAUACGUUUAUUGAUCUAUGACUUGCAGUUUUUUAUGUGGCUAAAUUUAUAGUACAUAGUUUAUAUAUAUGUUUGCUCUCUUUUAUGGAGUUAUUUAAACUAUUCCAUUGGAAUCGUCUGUUUUAUUUAUAGAAACCCAUGGUGGUAAGGUUUAUGAUCUAUUAAGCUCUGUAUUUUGUGUGAUGAAGCUUUAAGGUUAUUUUGACCGUUGAAAUUGUUAACUGUUGUAUUUUAUAUUCUUGGUCAUCUGCAAUUCUUCAUGAUGAGGUAUUCAAUUUGGUAAAUGUUUCAUUUGUUUGUGGUUGUUUGCUUUCAUCUUUUCUUGUAUUGAUUAUUUAUUGUAUUUUUUGUGAUUCUUUGUAGCACAAAUGUCUGCACAUUUUCUUUAUAUAAAAGUACCAGCCUUGUAGGUUUUUCUCAUAAAAAUUGUUCAGUUUUGCAAUUCUCAUGACAUAUCCCAAUUAUCACAUUUUUUAAUUCUCAUAAUCUUAAACAUUAAUGCCUCUUUUUUAGUCUAUUUUUAGUUAAUUAUGGUAUGGUCAGACAAAACUACUUGUAUACAGUUAAUCUAUUUUUUAGUCUAUUUGUAGUCUAUUUUUUAGUCUAUUUUUAGUCUGUUGGUCAAACAAAACAUUAAUGCCUCUUUUUUAGUCUAUUUUUAAUCUAUUUUUCAUGGACGAGGCGGAGGUGAGUUUUCUCUUGUUGCAUCGGUCUUCGAUGAUGAUUGCAUGCUUUUGCUUGCUUCCAUCCUUAUUGUCAUCGUUCCAUCAUAAGUUCUUGAUCCUUGGUCCAAAGAUGGUUCGGUACAGGGAUUCUUUGUGAAAGAUUCUUAUGGUCUAUUUCAUGACCACCCCUUCCUCGAUGGUGGCAAAAACCUAGCCGUAGACACCAUCAUCAGCUUAGCUUCCUUGGUAGAGGCUAAAAACGAAGGUGGCGAUCAACAAGGAGGGUUUUCUAUAGUUGCAUCGAUGGUGAUCUCUUGCUUUUGCUUGUUUCCUACCCUAUGGUGGCCAUUCUAUCGCAAAUUCUUGAUCCUUGGUGCAGAGAAGUGUCGGUACAAGGAUCCUUCUGAAUCGAUUCGUUUGGUCACAGAUUUUCAUAGCAAGCUCUGCUGCUGCCUAGCUUACAAUGAAGAUGGCAAUUGAUGAGGAGGUUUUUUUCUCUCAUUAGGCCGGUGAUGCUUUGUCUUUCUUCCAGCCCUAUCAUUGCUGUUUGAUCACAGAUUCUUGAUCUCUUGGUCCAGAGGAAAAGAGUCAGUAGGUUGGUUCUUUGGGAUAUGGAGUGUUCAUUUGCCACAUGAUGGAUUUCUGCCCAUUGGCAAGGAAACCUUCUGUCAAUGGCAUAAUUGCAUUGAUAAAGGAACCUGAGGUGGAGUAGAUUAUUUGGUCAUAGUGUGUUGCUAUGAUCGUGCUGUUUGUGCUUCUUAUGGAUGUAGAAGAGAUAAUUGGAUUGGUUGCCAAUAAGUGGCUGAGAAAGUUUAUUCAUUAGUGUUUGAUAAAUCCAGCUAAUCUGUUUGUAAUACUAUGAUCAGCUUAGUGAGUGUGGGAAGUUCUUUAUGGCAAGCUAAGGAGGGCACCGACCACAGCCAGUAAAUCAAUGUGAUAUUUAUUCAGGAUCAAAUGACAAGGAUGAGCUCUGGUAUUUAUUAGCAUCAAUGUCAUCAUGGAAGGUGCCAUCUUUUAUUACAAUAUGCAGAUCAAAUGACAAGGAUGAGCUCUGGUAUUUAUUAGCAUCAAUGUCAUCAUGGAAGGUGGCAUCUUUUAUUACAAUAUGCAGUUAUCACAAAAGAUAUCUAGAGGGAUCUCUCGAAUUGCUACUCCUCUCACCAAACUAACCCAAAGGAAUGUGACAUUUGAAUUGGGUGAAGAUUUUGAGCGAAGUUUUCAAGAGUUACAAUUUAGAUUGACUGGUGCCCUGUUAUCUCUAUUUCAAAUGGUAGAUAAAGAUUUGUACGUUAAACAGGUAUUUUGAGAAAGGACCUUAAUUGUAUUUUGAUGAAA